UAAUGAUGAUGAUGAUGAUGAUGAUGAUGAUUGAUGAUGGUGGUGGUGGUGGUGGUGGUGAUAUUAUUAUUCCUCAUCGUCGUCGUCACCAUCCUGU
Molecule: microRNA precursor, 97 nt
Filed under: Bigelowiella natans CCMP2755
Lineage: Eukaryota; Cercozoa; Chlorarachniophyceae
Description: miRNA EPrBNAG00000013248
Source: RNAcentral